RNAcentral lists this transfer RNA (63 nucleotides) under Gauromyrmex sp. my01. RNAcentral's name for it is "tRNA-Leu". It matches the Rfam family "tRNA". Rfam says of the family: Transfer RNA (tRNA) molecules are approximately 80 nucleotides in length. The record is from RNAcentral. Lineage: Eukaryota; Metazoa; Arthropoda; Insecta; Hymenoptera; Formicidae.
UAUGGCAGACUAGUGCAAAGGACUUAAACUCCUUAAAUAAAGAUCAAAAUUCUUUUAUUAAAA